CUUCCGUCUCUGGAACUGUGAGGUUGUCUACACGACUGGAUGGUGUGGUGAAAUGCUGGUUGUUCUGAAUCUGAAACUGGAAGUUUUGUGAUUCGGUUAUGGUUGGUGUUUCGCCUCGUGUCGCUAGCCUUGGGUCGUCAAAUAGGCUUCGUCGUACUCCGGGAGAAAAUUGCAGCUUUUAAAAAGAACAUCGCUUGGUUUAGUUGCAGUCAUAUCUGUCGAACGAAAUUUGAAAUGAAUAAAUAUGGAAAAAGAGAAAAGUGACACCUUGAUAGUUGAAAAAUAGUUUUAAGUAUCGGGAGAUUGGGCCCUUCCGAUACUUUGAUUGAUACGAACUGAUUUGGUAGACUGAUAUUGGUCACUUCUUGUACGCACAAUAAAAAUAUCCAACAAAUUAAUAAUGGAGAAAGUAAGC
Long non-coding RNA from Daphnia pulex (common water flea), 415 nucleotides. RefSeq lists it as uncharacterized. The transcript is spliced from 3 exons. The record is from RefSeq and is a predicted model, not a curated record. NCBI's taxonomy places the organism in Eukaryota, Metazoa, Arthropoda, Branchiopoda, Diplostraca, Daphniidae.